CGGGACGGGUGAGUAAUGUCUGGGAAACGUGCCUGAUGAGGGGGAGUAACUACUGGAAACGGUAGCUAAUACCGCAUAACGUCGCAAGACCAAAGAGGGGGACCUUCGGGCCUCUUGCCAUCGGAUGUGCCCAGAUGGGAUUAGCUAGUAGGUGGGGUAACGGCUCACCUAGGCGACGAUCCCUAGCUGGUCUGAGAGGAUGCCAGCCACACUGGAACUGAGACACGGUCCAG
Molecule: ribosomal RNA, 233 nt
Filed under: uncultured bacterium
Lineage: Bacteria
Description: partial 16S ribosomal RNA
Rfam family: Bacterial small subunit ribosomal RNA
Source: RNAcentral